UAACCCUCGCAAGGGACUUCAUUUUCCCGAGCGGACGUGGAGCUCGCCGGUCCUUUUCGAGGAUCGGCCUCUCCGAAAUGCAUUAGCUGGCACGCUGCCGGCGCGUGGUGUUGAUAAUUGUCUACGCCUGGUCGUCUGCGAGCGCGUCGCUUCCAAUCGUCCUUUAGUCGGACAACCGAACUCAAA
This 186-nucleotide unclassified non-coding RNA is filed under the name uncultured Agaricomycetes. RNAcentral describes it as "sequence contains ITS2". Lineage: Eukaryota; Fungi; Basidiomycota; Agaricomycetes. The record is from RNAcentral.